RNAcentral lists this ribosomal RNA (940 nucleotides) under Sarcodontia pachyodon. RNAcentral's name for it is "partial large subunit ribosomal RNA". It matches the Rfam family "Eukaryotic large subunit ribosomal RNA", at positions 38 to 965 of the family's 3401-position model. The record is from RNAcentral. Lineage: Eukaryota; Fungi; Basidiomycota; Agaricomycetes; Polyporales; Meruliaceae.
GCAUAUCAAUAAGCGGAGGAAAAGAAACUAACAAGGAUUCCCCUAGUAACUGCGAGUGAAGCGGGAAAAGCUCAAAUUUAAAAUCUGGCAGUCUUUGGCUGUCCGAGUUGUAGUCUGGAGAAGUGUUUUCCGCGCCGGACCGUGUAUAAGUCCCCUGGAAUGGGGCGUCGUAGAGGGUGACAAUCCCGUCUUUGACACGGACUCCCGGUGCUUUGUGAUGCGCUCUCAAAGAGUCGAGUUGUUUGGGAAUGCAGCUCAAAAUGGGUGGUAAAUUCCAUCUAAAGCUAAAUAUUGGCGAGAGACCGAUAGCGAACAAGUACCGUGAGGGAAAGAUGAAAAGCACUUUGGAAAGAGAGUUAAACAGUACGUGAAAUUGCUGAAAGGGAAACGCUUGAAGUCAGUCGCGUUGUGCAGAACUCAGCCUGGCCUUGGCCUGGUGUAUUUUCUGCACGACGGGCCAGCAUCGAUUUCGGUCGCUGGAAAAGGGCCUCGGGAAUGUGGCACCCUCGGGUGUGUUAUAGCCCGGGGUCGUAUACAGUGGCUGGGAUCGAGGAAUGCAGCACGCCUUUAUGGCUGGGGUUCGCCCACAUUCGUGCUUAGGAUGCUGGCGUAAUGGCUUUAAUCGACCCGUCUUGAAACACGGACCAAGGAGUCUAACAUACCUGCGAGUGUUUGGGUGGUAAACCCGAGCGCGCAAUGAAAGUGAAAGUCGGGAUCCUCGCCAGGGGAGCACCGACGCCCGGCCCAGACCUUUUGCGACGGUGCUGCGGUGGAGCAUGUAUGUUGGGACCCGAAAGAUGGUGAACUAUGCCUGAAUAGGGUGAAGCCAGAGGAAACUCUGGUGGAGGCUCGUAGCGAUUCUGACGUGCAAAUCGAUCGUCAAAUUUGGGUAUAGGGGCGAAAGACUAAUCGAACCAUCUAGUAGCUGGUUCCUGCCGAG